UACUUAGUAUUUGGAUUUAGAGAGAGGGAGGGGUAUGCGAGGCUUGUUAUGUACUGCAACCCAGUAUUGGAAUUUAGAGAGAAGGAGGGGUUGUGAGACUCAUUAUGGGCUACUUAGUAUUGCAAUUUAGAGAGAGGGAGGGGUUGUGAGACUCGUGGUGUUACCCAAAAUUUGGAUUUAAUGAGGGGAGGGGUUGUGAGACUCGCAGGACAACCCAGUAUUGGGAUUGAGAGAGUGGGAUGGGUUUUGAGACUUAUUAUAUGCUAUACAGUAUUAGGAUCUAGAGUGGGAGGGGUUGUUAGACUAUGAGCUAUCCAGUAUUGGGAUUUUGAGAAGGGGGAGGGGAUUGUGAGAUUUGGUACAUUCUAACCAGUAUUGCAAUUGAAAGAGUUUACAUUCUACUUAGUAUUGGGAUUUAGAGAGAGGGAGGGGUUGUGAGACUCAUUACAUGCUACCCAGUGUUGAGAUUUAAUGAGGGGGAUGGGUUGUGAGACUAGUUAUGUGCUACCCAGUAUUUGGAUUUCUAGAGUAGGAGGGGUUGUGAGACUUGUUAUGUGCUACCCAGUAUUGGGAUUUAGAGAGUGGGAGGGGUUGUGAGACUUGUUAUGUGCUACCCAGUAUUGAGAUUUAGAGAGUAGGGAUGGGUCUGUGACACUCAUUAUGUGCUACCCAUUAUUGGGAUUAAGAGAGUGGUAAGAGCUGUGAGACUCGUUACAUGCUACCCUUGCAAACUUGCCAUUUUUCACUGUGGAAAUUGUGUAAUUCACUUAACUUUUAAGGGUUGAAGCCUGAAUCAGUGAGAUGACAUGUUUAUGUACUGAAAUUUUCUUGGAUGCUAAAUCGGUGUGUGCAUGGUUAUAUUGUUUUUUAUGGGAUUCAUGUGUUCUUGAAAAUUUUUAGUAAGCAUGAAUAUGUUGCCUUUCUGAUAUGGGUUGAGGCUUAAUCCUUAUUCAAACCAUCAUAAAAUGGAGGAUAUAACAUACCCCUAAAGUAGGUCACAAUGACUUCUCUAAAUGGCUCCUAUUGCUGUUUUUUCAUUUGGGUCAUAUUUUCAACUGAAAGCCCUAUCCAUUGAAGAAUUUUGAGGAGUGUACAAGUAUAUAAAUAUUAACUUAUAGAAAGCAUAGUAAUACCUACCUGUACGUAACAAUGACUUAUUUUGCCAUCAGAUAUUAUUAUAGCGAGGUAUUUUUUGAUCUUGGACUGUUGAUGAAUUUGAGGAUACUUAAGAAUUCUAAUGGGCUAGCUGAUUGAUGCACAUAUUGAAUUCAUUACAUAUAUGCUAGCUUAUCUAUGAAUAAUGUUUAAUUUGUUCAUCAUUGUGCAAUGAUCUGUAUCACUACUAAUUCUUAAGAUAAUUGAUGAAUGAAUCAUUUGAUCUAGAUGAAGUUGGGACAAAAUGUAAAUAUAGGUCACAGUGACCUUCAAGAAUACAGGUACCAUAGUCAUCCUUUCUCCCCCGCAGAAUAAAAAAAUUGUUGAAUCAGUAGAUAGAAGAUAACACAAAUUAGGGGGGGUGGAAACUUUAUAUAGUGACUAUUUAUUGUAAUUUGUUCAGAAAGAGUGAAGUAUUAGUAAUGAAUGUGUUUUAUUACUGUGUACAGUGGUUAGUCACACUCCCUUAAAUCUCAGCAGUAUUUCCUCAUGGAUGGAGGGUUGGUAGGAGAUGUUGGAUACAAGGUUUAAUAUUUAGCACAGCCAAUAUGGAGGGAGGUUUGUGUGGGGAUGUGGGGUACAAUAUGUAUGUAACACAGCCAAUAUGGAGGGAGGUUUGUGUGGGGAUGUGGGGUACAAUAUGUAUGUAACACAGCCAAUAUGGAGGGAGGUUUGUGCGGGGAUGUGGGGUACAAUAUGUAUCACAGCCAAUAUGGAGGGAGGUUUGUGAGGGGAUGUGGUGUACAAUAUGUAUGUAGCACAGUCAAUAUGGAGGGAGGGUUGUGAGGAGAUGUGGUGUACAAUAUGUAUGUAGCAUUGCUAAUAUGGAGGGAGGCUUGUGAGGGGGUGUGGGGUACAAUAUGUAUGUAGCACAGCCAAUAUGGAGGGAGGGUUGUGAGGGGAUGUGGGAUAUAAUAUGUAAUAUUUAGCACAGCCAAUAUGGAGGGAGGGCUGCGUGGGAAUGUGGGAUAUAAUAUGUAAUAUUUAGCACAGCCAAUAUGGAGGUAGGAUUGUAUGUAUGUAGCACAGUCAAUAUAGAGGGAGGGUUGUGAGGGGAUGUGGGAUACAUUUUAAUGUCCAGCACAGCAUCCUUAUGCCCAUUGAUAAAUUGGAGCUAAAGCUUAAAUCCUUCCACAUUGAAACACAAUUCAUACUAUUAAUCAAAUUCAAUGUGAUUUUAAAAAACAGCCAGAUAACUGCAUGUUUAGCAAAUUUUUUGUAUUUGAUUCACUACUCUUAGGGAAGAUUGGGGCAUAUUUAUAUAGAGAGGAUGGAAGCAUUACAAUAUUUCUAUGUAUUAUUAUAUUACCUCAUAUCUCAAUAGUAUGCCUCAAUAGAUUACAUAUUUGUUUUCAUUGUGAUGAUAGUGGAUGC
Molecule: long non-coding RNA, 2529 nt
Organism: Saccostrea cuccullata (small rock oyster)
Lineage: Eukaryota; Metazoa; Mollusca; Bivalvia; Ostreida; Ostreidae
Exons: 3
Source: RefSeq, a predicted model, not a curated record